UUGUGACAUCAAAAACUAAACAUAGAAAUGUUGUAUUUUGCAGGCCCAGAAAAUACUUAGCUCUGACCAGUUGGUGACCCUCUAUAAAGUUCAAGUGAAACCCACACUAAAGUACUGUUUACAUAUCAGGAAAAGUGCUGCUGCUACUGCUACAACUACUGCUGCUAUGCUAAACUUCAGCAGUUAUCACUUCAAAGACUACUUGGUAGCACAGUACCAUACUGUUACUAAUUGUUUUUGGUACUCAUGUUUUUAUCUCUUUCCAGCUCCACCCAACCAUUCUUACCCUUUCUUCCAAAUCUGAGUAGUCAUAUAGCUCCACUAUAGCAAGAAACCUGUUUUGCCUCUGUCUCUCCUACUUUAACCCCUCAUUGCUUAUCAU
Octopus sinensis (East Asian common octopus) is the source of this 382-nucleotide long non-coding RNA. RefSeq lists it as uncharacterized. The transcript is spliced from 2 exons. The record is from RefSeq and is a predicted model, not a curated record. NCBI's taxonomy places the organism in Eukaryota, Metazoa, Mollusca, Cephalopoda, Octopoda, Octopodidae.